Molecule: ribosomal RNA, 231 nt
Filed under: uncultured bacterium
Lineage: Bacteria
Description: partial 16S ribosomal RNA
Rfam family: Bacterial small subunit ribosomal RNA
Source: RNAcentral
CGGGUGAGCAACACGUAUCCAACCUGCCGUCUACUCUUGGACAGCCUUCUGAAAGGAAGAUUAAUACAAGAUGGCAUCAUGAGUCCGCAUGUUCACAUGAUUAAAGGUAUUCCGGUAGACGAUGGGGAUGCGUUCCAUUAGAUAGUAGGCGGGGUAACGGCCCACCUAGUCUUCGAUGGAUAGGGGUUCUGAGAGGAAGGUCCCCCACAUUGGAACUGAGACACGGUCCAA